This 567-nucleotide ribosomal RNA is filed under the name uncultured bacterium. RNAcentral's name for it is "bacterial SSU rRNA". It matches the Rfam family "Bacterial small subunit ribosomal RNA", at positions 338 to 916 of the family's 1533-position model. The record is from RNAcentral.
CCUACGGGAGGCAGCAGUGGGGAAUAUUGGGCAAUGGAGGAAACUCUGACCCAGCGACGCCGCGUGAGGGAUGAAGGCCUUCGGGUUGUAAACCUCUUUCAGUAGGGAAGAAGCGAAAGUGACGGUACCUACAGAAGAAGCACCGGCUAACUAUGUGCCAGCAGCCGCGGUAGUACAUAGGGUGCAAGCGUUGUCCGGAAUUAUUGGGCGUAAAGAGCUCGUAGGUGGUUCGAUACGUCGGAUGUGAAAAUCAGGGGCUCAACCCCUGACCUGCAUCCGAUACGGUCGAGCUAGAGUUUGGUAGGGGAGACUGGAAUUCCUGGUGUAGCGGUGGAAUGCGCAGAUAUCAGGAGGAACACCGAUGGCGAAGGCAGGUCUCUGGGCCAAUACUGACACUGAGGAGCGAAAGCGUGGGGAGCGAACAGGAUUAGAUACCCUGGUAGUCCACGCCGUAAACGGUGGGCGCUAGUUGUGCGAACCUUCCACGGUUUGUGCGACGCAGCUAACGCAUUAAGCGCCCCGCCUGGGGAGUACGAUCGCAAGAUUAAAACUCAAAGGAAUUGACGG